UUCGACCACUUCGUCACCAAUCUCGCGUCCCAAAUUGCCCUUGGAAAGUCUCAUGCACUGUUGGUGCAAGUCCUCCAUAUAAAAAGCAAGAAGACAGUUGAGAUCGUUUGGACUUUUACAUGAUUGCUCACUGAUUAGUGGUACUUUUGUGGCAGCGGUUUGCUGGUCGUUGCGUUGAAUCGAAGCCGUCCUCCUACUUCGAUUUGCUGAAACGCAAGGGAAUGGAUGCAUCGGUGGUGGAUAAAUUGAAAGACUGCGUUCCACCAUUGGAGACUGCUCUAAAUUCCUCUAUUUAGGAAAAUAACGCUUUUGUCAGAGAUGUCUUGGUGGGCAAGGCAAGAAUCGAUUUGCAGUCGCAAUUGACCUGAUCAAAUUUCAUGUAUCUUUUGGUUCAUACACUCAGACCUUCAUGAACCCAGGUUCAUGCAUGUGUCUACUAUGGUUGCUAGUGUACAGCCAAUAACACAGUGCACCAAUCAACAAACAAGUCCAGCAAACUUGCUAUGGCUUCGGGAAGAAUUCUCAUAAAGCAAAAUUUCAUGUACGCCUUAAAUGUCACAAUGGACUGGUGAAGCUACUUGCAGAAGAGCUAUUCUUGGAUCAAGUUGCCAUUAAAUUUGCAAAUGUAACCUCUGACAAUACAUGUGUCAACAAGAGCCUUUUGCCAAAGGUCAGAGCCAAUGCAUUUUCUUGUCAUAUCUUUUGUAUCUAGGAGCCUGCAGGCCCACUUCCUCCUCACUCUAAAUCAGAAAUGCUACAAGCUUAAGUGAGUGAUUUGGUCAAAAGUUCAAUCCUCUUUAUAUUUUCAGUGGUCAAAAGUUGUUCUUCCAUAUGAACAUCAAGGUACAGAUCUAUAUCUGAGCUUAUUAUUCCAAAGUUGUUUAUGAAUUAUGAUAUGAUCUUUAUAUUUUAGUGGCCUUACUGUUCUUGUUAUUGCUAACCUAGUUUAUUGGAUUUCCUUGUGAUGAAAAUUACGUCAGUUACUGCAUACUGCAUUAUCUGAUAAUUAUUUCUGCAAGUUAUGGAGUUAUGUUCAUAAGAUGUUGAAAGUUUUGGUGUCUUAUCUUGCGGACAUGACACCUCCAUUACGUAGCUAAUUCAUUUAUGUUCGAGUUUAAAUUGUUACGAUAAGCUAGGUCAUUGGUUUGACACUAUUAGACUAGGAUUUUAGUAUGUCUACUAGAAGUAUGUUCAUUGACUUGGACAGUACUACUCUCUGUAGCCAACUUACUCUUGACAAUUAAUUUCUUAGAACACCUGAUGCUUGGGGACACAACAAAAAACUGCCCCUUGUUUGAUCGAAGAAAAAAUUUUAUUAUGCUUCAUUUAUGUGUUCUUGAUGACACAAGUUUUGUGUAACUAACAUUUUAGCAUGUCUACUAGAAGUAUGUUCAUUGACUUGGACAGUACUACUCUCUCUAGCCAACUUACUCUUGACAAUUAAUUUCUUAGAACACCUGAUGCUUGGGGACACAACAAAAAACUGCCCCUUGUUUGAUCGAAGAAAAAAAUUUAUUAUGCUUCAUUUAUGUGUUCUUGAUGACACAAGUUUUGUGUAACUAACAUUUUAGCAUGUCUACUAGAAGUAUGUUCAUUGACUUGGACAGUACUACUCUCUCUAGCCAACUUACUCUUGACAAUUAAUUUCUUAGAACACCUGAUGCUUGGGGACACAACAAAAAACUGCCCUUGUUUGAUUGAAGAAAAAAAAAAAUAUUAUGCUUCAUUUAUGUGUUCUUGAUGACACAAGUUUUGUGUAACUAAAAUAUUGCUUCUGGGUCAUACUAGUUUGUCUUGUAGUGUAGGUUUCAUAUAUUAGUUCUAUGAGCAAAAAGUACAAACACAAUAUUUUAUGCAUGUGUUCAUGGACUGUUGUUCAUGCUUUUUCUGUUUUGAUAUCAAAAGGAACAAGUCAAUAAUUCUAAUAAUGUAUAUAAUCAUAUCUCAUUUUAAGUUGUUCAUGGGAGUUAUGUUAAUCAACAAUUGAACAUAAUGCUCACUAAUAAGCUACCUAUUUUCAACAUAUAGAUAUGGUA
Musa acuminata subsp. malaccensis (wild Malaysian banana) is the source of this 2036-nucleotide non-coding RNA. NCBI's taxonomy places the organism in Eukaryota, Viridiplantae, Streptophyta, Magnoliopsida, Zingiberales, Musaceae. The record is from RefSeq and is a predicted model, not a curated record.